AUUGGCAAAUAUUUCCACUCUAAGAAUUGAACCACAUAAGCAUAAUUAAAUCAGUCGUUUUUAGUUAAAGUUCAAGUUAUAAAAAUCAAUUGAAUUAUAUUUUUUGUUGACAGAUUUUUAUCACACUUUACUUCAUGUGGUGAGUCAACAAGGAAUUCCUUAAACUGUUUGACAAAUCAGUAAAUUUGCUUUAUUCAUCAAGGAAACUGUGCUCGAUAAAACAUGUUUAAGGAGGUAGAAUAAAUUUUUGCAAUCAGUGUUAUUUUUCUCCCAGUUACUGGUUUAAUUAGAGGUCCUUACAGGUACAUUUGCUGCUUAGCACGCUUAUACCUCGGGCCGGCUCCGCCACAGCCGCUCGAUGUCUCAGGUGAAAUCACAACCGGAGCCCACGUCAUUAAAUUCCACUUUAUUUUAUAUGCAUAUAACAAGGUACAGUUACAUAUUAUGACAGCUGCAUGUAUCAGAUAGAGGGAUUACAAAAAACAUGUUUAUAUAAAAAAGAGAAGAAAGCAAAAAACACAUUGAAACAUUUGACGAUUUCUUUUCCCAGGAGCACUUUAACGAGUAAACAGUAACAUUGAACUGAUCCAGAUUUGCAUUCCAACCUGGUUACAGGAUUUAACUUGUUCAUAUUUGAGAAAUUAAACUGAGCUCCAGAUUUUCAACUAAUAGCAUUACUGUUUCAUUGUGUAAUCUCUCUUUUUUUUAAACAUCUUGAAAAAGUUCAAGACCUUGAUCACAAAACGAUAACAGAUUUGGUUAAAGACGGAGGAUCUAUGUGUAGCAAUAAUCGACUGAUAGACUGCUGCUAUUUUCCUUUCCUAAAAAAACAAAACAAGCUGCCAUGUGUGUAAGUUGAGGAUCUUUAACUUGUUUCAAUCUCGUAUCAUUUCUUACAUUAUAAAUUAUAUUUUAAGGUGCUUCACAUCGGAAUGAAAGAGACAGCUGCAUGCUGUGCGCAAAGAAUUUUUAUGUUUUUAUUUUAUACUAAAAACGCCUGUCGUGGCAUUAAAUUUCAACCCAUUUUUCUUUUUUGGGAGAAACGUGUUUUUAAUUAAGUGGAAAGAAUUCAAAUAAAUGUUUGAAUUGUCUAAAAGGCAGAAAGAAAAACGCACGAUGCCCUAAAAGUGUCUUUUAUACUACACCAUCGAGAACGUUAUUACCCUUUAUGAAAACACAGAAAGCACCGACUGAUCCAGUGUAUAAUGUUGACAUGAUUCAAUUUGUAGUAAAUCGAAGUCAAUCCUUAUAAUAGUUAGAAAAAGAUACCGCUUUCAGCUGAGACAGUUGGUGCUGUUGUGCCCAUCAUAAGCACAGGACAUCUCUUUUUAUUAUUUUUGUUUUACAGAGUAAGUAUCUUAGGCAUCCAAAAACACAUCCUAUAUUUAGUGAUGGUUUUACAGACAUAAGUACACUUGGUGUGACACUUACAAGAGAAAAUAAAGACGAGCUUUACUGGAUUUUCAUGCAUUAAGAUCCUUAAGGAAAGAGGACCAAAAACUGGAAGCACAACGACUUGGGGACAUUUCUAUUCAUAGCACGUUUUACACAGAACAUUGUUACUUAAAAUGAAACAGGCAUUACAUAGCAGAGUAUUAUUGCCACGUUAAUUAUCUUUCCGGAGAAUACGGUGAGAAGGAGCCCAAACCAGCCGAUUACAAAAUGUAGAAACCCCUAACAGUCUGUGAUGCUGAAUUAGAAACAGGUUCGGCUAUUUUGGCAAAAAAAAAAAAAAAAAAAAAGGAAUUCAACCAAAGUUUGCGCCAUUAACAACCAACCUGCCUCUUAUGUGCUUUCUGCUUCAACCAACCCGACUUUAGCUCUGCUAAAAAUGAAUCCAAUCAGAAUGGGAAGGAGAGCGGCCCCAGGUAAAAAGCAGGCUAAGUCACUGCUUUGGGCCCCCCAGGCCAGCAGGGGGCCCCCCAAGAACCCUUUCACUAUCGCGCUAAUUCCAGCUGAUAUAUGUCAGCAGCCAAUGUUUACGCUCAUUUCUCAUGAUUGUGAGAAAUCGUGGCUUUUACGUGAGCCACGAUUUCAGAGUUUUAAGCUUAAGAUAACUUCCAUUUUUUUAAAUUUUCAAUUUAAUUUCAGUCAUGUCUGACGCAUGUUGUAGUUGCA
Molecule: long non-coding RNA, 2118 nt
Organism: Poecilia latipinna (sailfin molly)
Lineage: Eukaryota; Metazoa; Chordata; Actinopteri; Cyprinodontiformes; Poeciliidae
Exons: 4
Source: RefSeq, a predicted model, not a curated record